CAAAUGGGCCAGAGGUAAAAUACCAUGUGACCUGAUAACGUGUGAAGACGCCGAGUCAAAAGACUUACACAGGACAGAUGGCUCAAAGGUUGAGAGAUGUGCUACUCUGGCGGAGAAGACAGGUUCGGUUCCCAGCACUCACAUGGUGGUUCACAGCCAUCCAUAACUGUAGCUCCAGGGAAAACAACACCUUCUCCCAACCUCUGCCGAAGAUGCUGCUAUAAAAACGAUGGCUGUCGAAGGUGGACAUUUUCUAUUCACUGCAUGAGAUGAAUUGUCCUCUGCGGCUGAACUGCUCUUUAGGAUAAUGAGGUCUGUCACCAAAGGAACAACCCAGAGAUCUCCAUGGGAGGAAUAAGGAAUUGAGCAUCAGUCUCUCUGGAUCCUGAUACAAAUCCUGAUGGCACUGCUUGCUGGCUCCGGGGGCUGAGGAAAGUGCCUUUGUCCACCUCUUCUCCAUCCUGUUCUAAGUUUCAGUUCUCAUCCAAAC
This 490-nucleotide long non-coding RNA is filed under the name Cricetulus griseus (Chinese hamster). RNAcentral describes it as "lncRNA (ENSCGRG00015031338.1)". Lineage: Eukaryota; Metazoa; Chordata; Mammalia; Rodentia; Cricetidae. The record is from RNAcentral.